RNAcentral lists this ribosomal RNA (818 nucleotides) under Schizocardium brasiliense. RNAcentral's name for it is "12S ribosomal RNA". It matches the Rfam family "Bacterial small subunit ribosomal RNA". Lineage: Eukaryota; Metazoa; Hemichordata; Enteropneusta; Spengelidae. The record is from RNAcentral.
CAGCAACUUGAUCCUGAUUGCCCGAUUGACUAUUUAGUUUCUUACAUGCCAGUAAAAUGCAAAAACUCCUCAUCUACCAGCAGUAAGUGACCUUGGGCAAUGGGUGUCAACCCGACCCAGAAACAAGAUUAAGCGUCGGCAAAUCUCUGUGCCAGCAGCCGCGGCUAUACGAGAGACGCAAGUCAACGGUUCCCGGCGUAAAAAUGGUUAAGCCAUCACAUCCAAGAUAAAAUCUUCUUUCUCGCUGUCGUACGCCCACAAGAAGCAGAAUACUCUUGACAAACAAGCCAACCCAACAAAGCCAGAACAGAAACCGGGAUUAGAUACCCCGCUAUCUCUGGCCCCCACACGCUUUACCAACUCUAAUACCAGAAAACUAACCACAAAGUGAAAAACUCAAAGGAAUUGGCGGUGCCUUAGACCCAACUAGAGGAGCCUGCCCCUUAAACCGAUAAUCCGCGUUACCCCUUACCAAUCCUGGACUUCCCCGCCUGUAUAUCCUCGUCGCCAGUCUACCCUUUGAAGAAACCUAAGUAGGCUAAAUUGUUUACACACGAACGUCAGAUCGAGAUGCAGCUAAUGGAUUGGAGGAGGUGGGCUACAGUCCUCCCCAGAGACGAACCACACCCUUGAAAUAGGAGUAAGAAGUAGGAUUUAGCCGUAAUUAGGAAAAGUACAUCCUAAUGAAGCCGGCCCUAAGGUGCGUACACAUCGCCCGUCACUCCCCUCACACGGCCAAAAUUUAACUAAACUCUGCCUACAAAAGAGGGGAUAAGUCGUAACAAAGUAGGCGUACUGGAAAGUGCGCCUGGCACCGG